This 254-nucleotide ribosomal RNA is filed under the name uncultured prokaryote. RNAcentral describes it as "partial 16S ribosomal RNA". It matches the Rfam family "Bacterial small subunit ribosomal RNA", at positions 524 to 777 of the family's 1533-position model. The record is from RNAcentral.
UACGGAGGAUGCAAGCGUUAUCCGGAUUUAUUGGGUUUAAAGGGUGCGCAGGUUGUUUGAUAAGUCAGUGGUGAAAGUCUGUCGCUUAACGGUAGGAUUGCCAUUGAUACUGUUGGACUUGAAUAUGGAUGAGGUAGGCGGAAUGUGUAGUGUAGCGGUGAAAUGCAUAGAUAUUACACAGAACACCGAUUGCGCAGGCAGCUUACUAAACCAUAACUGACGCUCAGGCACGAAGGCGUGGGGAUCAAACAGGA